AUGUGUUUUCCCUGUCUGCGGAUCACCUCACUUAAUCGAAGAUCUUCAGCUUCUUCAUAAGCUCCCACACGAAUUGCUUGAUUCACUGGUUAGACGAUUGGGUCUGUAGCUCAGUUGGUUAGAGCGCACCCCUGAUAAGGGUGAGGUCGGCAGUUCGAAUCUGCCCAGACCCACCAAUUGUUGGUGUGCUGCGUGAUCCGAUACGGGGCCAUAGCUCAGCUGGGAGAGCGCCUGCUUUGCACGCAGGAGGUCAGGAGUUCGAUCCUCCUUGGCUCCACCAUCUAAAACAAUCGUCGAAAGCUCAGAAAUGAAUGUUCGUGAAUGAACAUUGAUUUCUGGUCUUUGCACCAGAACUGUUCUUUAAAAAUUCGGGUAUGUGAUAGAAGUAAGACUGAAUGAUCUCUUUCACUGGUGAUCAUUCAAGUCAAGGUAAAAUUUGCGAGUUCAAGCGCGAAUUUUACGGCGAAUGUCGUCUUCACAGUAUAACCAGAUUGCUUGGGGUUAUAUAUGGUCAA
This 515-nucleotide transfer RNA is filed under the name Pseudomonas fluorescens. RNAcentral describes it as "partial contains 16S ribosomal RNA, 16S-23S ribosomal RNA intergenic spacer, and 23S ribosomal RNA". The stretch from base 100 to 173 matches the Rfam family "tRNA". The record is from RNAcentral. Lineage: Bacteria; Pseudomonadati; Pseudomonadota; Gammaproteobacteria; Pseudomonadales; Pseudomonadaceae.